Molecule: long non-coding RNA, 601 nt
Organism: Eriocheir sinensis (Chinese mitten crab)
Lineage: Eukaryota; Metazoa; Arthropoda; Malacostraca; Decapoda; Varunidae
Exons: 3
Source: RefSeq, a predicted model, not a curated record
UAUAGAAAGACUCCUAAAUCAACGCCUCUUAACCCGUGGCAAGCAAUACAAGGCCACAGCAUCUCAAAACUCCCUUAUCUACGUAGACAUCCCUGAAGGCUAGGCUCAGAGGGAAACAGCGCGGGCUCAGCGACGUGCCCCGUGACGCAAGACCCCCAGCGGCUAGCCCAGAGCGGCGCGCGGCGGGCAAGCGGAAGGAAGUGUCGCGUUGCGUGAUAGUGUUGCGUGUUCCUAUUGCGUCAUCAGGAGUCUGGAUUCGGCCCUGCGGUCUCUACGAUGACGUCGGUGUGUACCCGUGACCUCUUCAGACCGACGUUAGACGGCAGGCGAUCACAGUCAUUGGCGGGGCCGGGGCCAGUGGACUGCGUUGUGAGGGACAGGACGCGCCGCCCCUCACAAGGCAGCUCCUGAGGGAUGGAGGUCGCUUGAAGGUAGGGAAAGAAUACAUUGUUGUGACAGAAUCAGCUACGUUUUGUGAUCUCAGUUGAUGUAGAUGUGUAAGAAUGCUCUACUCCGCCAUUCUCGUAUUGGAAAGUAAAAGAAUGGAAAGAGGGGUGAAAGGAAGAAAGACAGAGGGAAGGGAGGGAAUGGAGUUAAGGAG